RNAcentral lists this ribosomal RNA (433 nucleotides) under uncultured bacterium. RNAcentral's name for it is "partial 16S ribosomal RNA". It matches the Rfam family "Bacterial small subunit ribosomal RNA", at positions 29 to 507 of the family's 1533-position model. The record is from RNAcentral.
AACGAACGCUGGCGGCAUGCCUAACACAUGCAAGUCGAACGAGACCUUCGGGUCUAGUGGCGCACGGGUGCGUAACGCGUGGGAACCUGCCCUUAGGUUCGGAAUAACUCCCCGAAAGGGGUGCUAAUACCGGAUAAUGUCUUCGGACCAAAGAUUUAUCGCCUUUGGAUGGGCCCGCGUUGGAUUAGCUAGUUGUUAGGGUAAAAGCCUACCAAGGCGACGAUCCAUAGCUGGUUUGAGAGGAUGAUCAGCCACACUGGGACUGAGACACGGCCCAGACUCCUACGGGAGGCAGCAGUGGGGAAUAUUGGAAAAUGGGCGAAAGCCUGAUCCAGCAAGGCCGCGUGAGUGAUGAAGGCCUUAGGGUUGUAAAGCUCUUUUACCCGGGAUGAUAAUGACAGUACCGGGAGAAUAAGCUCCGGCUAACUCCGUG